CGGAAUCAACUUUUUCCAAACUCCUGAAGAGCUCAGGAAGAUGAAGUCCUUCCCUGGGGUCCCACAGCUGCCACCUUUAAGCCUGGGAGGUGUGCUGGUCUCCACCACCUAGUCAACUCAGGAAUGGGCUUGAAGAUUCAGACAAAGAAAGCAAGGCUUGAAAAGGCUGAAUGACCUCUCCCCAGGCAGACAGCAGACAGAAGAGGAUGGGCCAAGAUCGGAGCCUAAAGCCCAUUCAUUCUGUGGACUCCAGGAAGAGUGGUCCCUGUGUCCAGGCUGCCCAGGCUGCUGUGGGUGUCAUGUAAUCAGCCCCACAGCAGCAGCAGUCAUUGUCACAGGGACAGCCCUGCUCACACCUGCUGGGUGGUGGCCCAGCCGCUGUCCUGGAGCCUCUUAGGUUUCUCUCUAGCCUCUCUUGGAGCUCACACAUCCUCUAGGGAAGAGGUCCUGCACUAUCUCCCUGUGAUGGGGCCAGCUCUGGGUUCAUGGUGUGACCCUGCUUCCUGGAAAAGUCUGGGAUGACUGCACCAUCCAUGAUUGGUGACUUCCAGGAACUGAAGGUCGCCUUGGUCCCACCCUCCUAGAGUCCUGGGUCCCUGGGAUGCCCCUAAUGCAAUCCAGGCAGGCCUCACCCUCCACCUGCUCACCUGGCCCUUCCUUGGCCUGCAAUUUGACUGUCCCCACCCUCGGCCCCUCCCUGACCUGUCAAUAC
Molecule: long non-coding RNA, 712 nt
Filed under: Homo sapiens (human)
Lineage: Eukaryota; Metazoa; Chordata; Mammalia; Primates; Hominidae
Description: HSALNT0152281
Source: RNAcentral